RNAcentral lists this ribosomal RNA (497 nucleotides) under uncultured bacterium. RNAcentral's name for it is "partial 16S ribosomal RNA". It matches the Rfam family "Bacterial small subunit ribosomal RNA", at positions 28 to 507 of the family's 1533-position model. The record is from RNAcentral.
GACGAACGCUGGCGGCGUGCCUAAUACAUGCAAGUAGAACGCUGAAGAGAGGAGCUUACUCUUCUUGGAUGAGUUGCGCACGGGUGAGUAACGCGUAGGUAACCUGCCUUGUAGCGGGGGAUAACUAUUGGAAACGAUAGCUAAUACCGCAUAACAAUGGAUGACACAUGUCAUUUAUUUGAAAGGGGCAAUUGCUCCACUACAAGAUGGACCUGCGUUGUAUUAGCUAGUAGGUGAGGUAAUGGCUCACCUAGGCGACGAUACAUAGCCGACCUGAGAGGGUGAUCGGCCACACUGGGACGGAGACACGGCCCAGACUCCUGCGGGAGGCAGCAGUAGGGAAUCUUCGGCAAUGGGGGCAAACCUGACCGAGCAACGCCGCGUGAGUGAAGAAGGUUUUCGGAUCGUAAAGCUCUGUUGUAAGUCAAGAACGGGUGUGAGAGUGGAAAGUUCACACUGUGACGGUAGCUUACCAGAAAGGGACGGCUAACUACGUG